This 1527-nucleotide ribosomal RNA is filed under the name Limosilactobacillus fermentum. RNAcentral's name for it is "bacterial SSU rRNA". It matches the Rfam family "Bacterial small subunit ribosomal RNA". Lineage: Bacteria; Bacillati; Bacillota; Bacilli; Lactobacillales; Lactobacillaceae. The record is from RNAcentral.
UGGCUCAGGAUGAACGCCGGCGGUGUGCCUAAUACAUGCAAGUCGAACGCGUUGGCCCAAUUGAUUGAUGGUGCUUGCACCUGAUUGAUUUUGGUCGCCAACGAGUGGCGGACGGGUGAGUAACACGUAGGUAACCUGCCCAGAAGCGGGGGACAACAUUUGGAAACAGAUGCUAAUACCGCAUAACAGCGUUGUUCGCAUGAACAACGCUUAAAAGAUGGCUUCUCGCUAUCACUUCUGGAUGGACCUGCGGUGCAUUAGCUUGUUGGUGGGGUAACGGCCUACCAAGGCGAUGAUGCAUAGCCGAGUUGAGAGACUGAUCGGCCACAAUGGGACUGAGACACGGCCCAUACUCCUACGGGAGGCAGCAGUAGGGAAUCUUCCACAAUGGGCGCAAGCCUGAUGGAGCAACACCGCGUGAGUGAAGAAGGGUUUCGGCUCGUAAAGCUCUGUUGUUAAAGAAGAACACGUAUGAGAGUAACUGUUCAUACGUUGACGGUAUUUAACCAGAAAGUCACGGCUAACUACGUGCCAGCAGCCGCGGUAAUACGUAGGUGGCAAGCGUUAUCCGGAUUUAUUGGGCGUAAAGAGAGUGCAGGCGGUUUUCUAAGUCUGAUGUGAAAGCCUUCGGCUUAACCGGAGAAGUGCAUCGGAAACUGGAUAACUUGAGUGCAGAAGAGGGUAGUGGAACUCCAUGUGUAGCGGUGGAAUGCGUAGAUAUAUGGAAGAACACCAGUGGCGAAGGCGGCUACCUGGUCUGCAACUGACGCUGAGACUCGAAAGCAUGGGUAGCGAACAGGAUUAGAUACCCUGGUAGUCCAUGCCGUAAACGAUGAGUGCUAGGUGUUGGAGGGUUUCCGCCCUUCAGUGCCGGAGCUAACGCAUUAAGCACUCCGCCUGGGGAGUACGACCGCAAGGUUGAAACUCAAAGGAAUUGACGGGGGCCCGCACAAGCGGUGGAGCAUGUGGUUUAAUUCGAAGCUACGCGAAGAACCUUACCAGGUCUUGACAUCUUGCGCCAACCCUAGAGAUAGGGCGUUUCCUUCGGGAACGCAAUGACAGGUGGUGCAUGGUCGUCGUCAGCUCGUGUCGUGAGAUGUUGGGUUAAGUCCCGCAACGAGCGCAACCCUUGUUACUAGUUGCCAGCAUUAAGUUGGGCACUCUAGUGAGACUGCCGGUGACAAACCGGAGGAAGGUGGGGACGACGUCAGAUCAUCAUGCCCCUUAUGACCUGGGCUACACACGUGCUACAAUGGACGGUACAACGAGUCGCGAACUCGCGAGGGCAAGCAAAUCUCUUAAAACCGUUCUCAGUUCGGACUGCAGGCUGCAACUCGCCUGCACGAAGUCGGAAUCGCUAGUAAUCGCGGAUCAGCAUGCCGCGGUGAAUACGUUCCCGGGCCUUGUACACACCGCCCGUCACACCAUGAGAGUUUGUAACACCCAAAGUCGGUGGGGUAACCUUUUAGGAGCCAGCCGCCUAAGGUGGGACAGAUGAUUAGGGUGAAGUCGUACAAAGGUAACCAA